AAGACUGUACUUUUAGGGAUUGUUUCUAUAGUUUUUGAUUUAAGGAUUGUGUUUCUAGCGCGUAUUGACUUGACAUAAUUAGCUGCGAUGUUUCCUUUUUUGAGCUUUGAUGAAGAGAAUAUGAUCUGA
This is a small nucleolar RNA of Astatotilapia calliptera (eastern happy), 129 nucleotides long. Its record names the gene U3. It matches the Rfam family "Small nucleolar RNA U3". From Rfam's summary of the family: Small nucleolar RNAs (snoRNAs) are involved in the processing and modification of rRNA in the nucleolus. There are two main classes of snoRNAs: the box C/D class, and the box H/ACA class. The record is from Ensembl. NCBI's taxonomy places the organism in Eukaryota, Metazoa, Chordata, Actinopteri, Cichliformes, Cichlidae.